AUGCCCUCAUUUCCACUUCUUCUCCUCCUCAUCCUCCUUCUCCUCCUUCUACUUCUCUUCCUUUUAGUUCUCCUCCUCCUACUUCUCCUCCUCCUUUUCAUCCUUCUCUUCCUCCUUCUCCUCCUCCUCUCCCCCCCCCACUUCUCCUCCUCCCACUUCCCCUUCUUCUCUUCCUCCUCCUCCUACUUCUCUUCCCCCUCCUCCUCCUAUUUCUCCUCCUCCUUCUCUUCCCCCUCCUACUUCUCCUUCUUCUCUUCCUCCUCCUCCUCCUUCUCCUCCUCCCCCCACUUCUCCUUCUUCUCUUCCUCCUCCUCCUACUUCUCUUCCCCCUCCUCCUCCUAUUUCUCCUCCUCCUUCUCUUCUCCCUCCUACUUCUCCUUCUCUUCCCCCUCCUUCUUCUCUUCCUCCUCCUCUUCCCCCUCCUACUUCUCCUCCUUCUCUUCCCCCUCCCCCUCCUUCUUCUCUUCCUCCUCCUCUUCCCCCUCCUACUUCUCCUCCUUCUCUUCCCCCCCACUUCUCCUUCUUCUCUUCCUCCUCUUCCUUCUCUUCCCCCUCCUCCUCCUAUUUCUCCUCCUCCUUCUCUUCCCCCUCCUACUUCUCCUCCCCAUUCUCUUCCUCCUUCUACUUCUCGUCCUUCUUCUCUUCCUCCUCCUCCUAUUUCUCCUCCUCCUUCUCUCCCCCCCCCACUUCUCCUCCUCCCACUUCUCCUUCUUCUCUUCCCCCUCCUCCUCCUAUUUCUCCUCCUCCUUCUCUUCCCCCCCCCCCCACUUCUCCUUCUUCUCUUCCUCCUCCUACUUCUCCUCCCCAUUCUCUUCCUCCUUCUACUUCUCGUCCUUCUUCUCUUCCUCCUCCUCCUAUUUCUCCUCCUCCUUCUCUCCCCCCCCACUUCUCCUCCUCUCACUUCUCCUUCUUCUCUUCCCCCUCCUCCUCCUAUUUCUCCUCCUCCUUCUCUUCCCCCCCCCACUUCUCCUUCUUCUCUUCCUCCUCCUCCUUCUCUUCCCCCUCCUACUUCUCCUUCUUCUCUUCCUCCUCCUCCUUCUCUUCCCCCUCCUACUUCUCCUCCUCAUUCUCUUCCUUCUUCUACUUCUCGUCCUUCUUCUCUUCCUCCUCCUCCUAUUUCUCCUCCUCCUUCUCUCCCCCCCCCCCACUUCUCCUCCCCAUUCUCUUCCUCCUCCUACUUCUCGUCCUUCUUCUCUUCCUCCUCCUCCCGCGCUACGUUUCCUUUUGCGCGUUUCAUCAGCUCUACGGGAUGACGUGACGAAACACUUUAGGUGUAAACACCCAAAUCCACGCCAUAUUUAA
This 1302-nucleotide long non-coding RNA is filed under the name Scleropages formosus (Asian bonytongue). Its description in RNAcentral is "lncRNA (ENSSFOG00015030657.1)". The record is from RNAcentral. Lineage: Eukaryota; Metazoa; Chordata; Actinopteri; Osteoglossiformes; Osteoglossidae.